CACGUGAUUGGUAUUUAAUGGCGGUGACUCCUCUCACGCUUUUUUUUCCCCUGCGCAACUGGGCUGAGUUCAGGAUCCAGAAUGCGCCAGGAAGAUAGAUGCCUGCAGAGACCACAUGCUGCACCAGAAGAUCCAGAGUGAACUUCGAAUCCGCGGCUGCCUCUCUCUCUGUUUUCCUGAAUAUUGGUGGGCAGAGCCCCCAGAACUUUUCAGGACUGGUGAGAUAUUCCCUCGUCUGAUUUUCAUGCCCGAGGGCUGUCUCUCACCAGUGUCAAGAAACUGAACUACGGAAGUUGGUUUUCUCACCUUGGGAAUCUGGGAUAGACACUUCUGUUAAUUAGAGCCCCCGAGAAGAGAAAGAGUCACGGGCUGAGACAGGUACGAAGGUUAAGAUGACACAGUAGGAGAAGGCAGAAAGAGUAUUCCGCAGUGAUUUAUAAGUCUUCACUGACUGAAAUACAAUGGCUCACUGACUCAUGGGAAAAGGGUGCCCCGCAUAUCGGAUUCCCAGCUCCGGACUCCUUUGGGCUGGAUUCAGUUCUUGGGGCCGUGCGCUAAAGGAGGGAAGUUAGAUUCUCAGUCUUUCUGACUCAGUAUGCCUCUAAUCCACAGUUGAAUUCCGAGAACAUUUUCUAAAAACGAUCUUUAGGCAAGGCUCAUGUCUAUAAUUGAGCCUAAAAGGGUCGCCUCCCUUCCAAAAAUGGUACUCAGAAUAAUUUAGAUAAAGCACAGGACAGCAACUUAUUGGCUCCCUUAGAGAAGAAGAGGUGAAGACACACACGACUCAGUAGCAAACGUUGACAAAUACUUGGAUCAUGAUAUGAUAAACCAUAAGUCUGAUUGUACUUACUGGGAGCUUGACACUUAAACCAUUAAAGCAGGAGACACUUUAUAGGUCUGCUGAAUAGACAUCACUUUAAUCUCAGUUCUUUACUGUCAGUAGUCACAAGGCCAUUAUCACGUGUCAAACUCAGCUAUGCCUCACACGCAUAGUCCUCCUCUACUCUCCAACAGCGUUUCCGUGGUCACCUGCUAUUACAUAGUCAACAUGCUGAUGAGGAAGCUCCCCACCUUAGUAGGUUAGGAGCAAGACGAGGACUAGCCAUCACAGCAUGGAGGGCUCCUUGAUAAAAACUGCUUGAGGCCCACCCUAGCUGAAACACCCUGAAGUCAUCCCCUUUACUUGAAGACUCCAGUGUUAAUAAUCACCUGAAGCUUUUUUGACCCUAUUUUUCAUUUUGGCAAGUUAAGUCAAGAGGCACUUUAAAAUGCUAAUAAUGUGU
RNAcentral lists this long non-coding RNA (1283 nucleotides) under Monodelphis domestica (gray short-tailed opossum). RNAcentral describes it as "lncRNA (ENSMODG00000049895.1)". Lineage: Eukaryota; Metazoa; Chordata; Mammalia; Didelphimorphia; Didelphidae. The record is from RNAcentral.